GGGGGUAUAGCUCAGUGGUAGAGCAUGUGCUUAGCAUGCUUGAGGUCCUGCAUUCAAUCCCUAAUACCUCCA
RNAcentral lists this transfer RNA (72 nucleotides) under Camelus bactrianus (Bactrian camel). It matches the Rfam family "tRNA". From Rfam's summary of the family: Transfer RNA (tRNA) molecules are approximately 80 nucleotides in length. Their secondary structure includes four short double-helical elements and three loops (D, anti-codon, and T loops). The record is from Rfam by way of RNAcentral. Lineage: Eukaryota; Metazoa; Chordata; Mammalia; Artiodactyla; Camelidae. RNAcentral also lists the same sequence under 2 other names.